CUUGCGUUUGGUACUGUACAAACAGAAGAGACUAAGAUUUUUUUUUGAGUUCUAAGGUUUUAUCAUAGCACUUAUGAAGAGCAAAUCGCUUCAACUGCAAUCCAAUAAAUCAAAAAGGAGCAGCAAAAACGAUGAAAACAACACAAAAAAAGUACUGCUCUUUUAUGUACUGUAUCUAUUCCAUGGAAACGUGUCUGGCGUUGUUCCUCUGGUAGCAGGCUGAAGGGAAACAAAACUGAACUGUACCAUUGGACUUUUGGGGGGAAAAAACUUCACUCUUGGUUUUUUCCCCUUCUUUGAACUAUAUCAACGUGAUUAUCACUGUUACUCCAAAAAUUGUUAUCCUUGCUCUCUUUGGAGGCUCUAGACUUUGCAGUGUCAGUGGUCUCUGACACCCGCUGGACAGCCAAUCCGGUCAGUCGGUGGUUGAGUCAGAGUGGGGUGAGGUGGGGGAGUGUCCACUGAGUGCCUCUUUGCUGUGGUCCUCUGGAUGUCGAGCGGCAGCCCCACAGCGCAGCACUUCCUCCUGGGCUCCACUUGACCGUCUCUCAGUCUGGCGUGAAAAACGGAUCCUCCGGGACUGGCCAAUCACGGCUCUCUGCCGCACACACGGCAUCUCCAACAGGGGCCCACUACCACUCGACCCUGCUGUCAUCCUGCCCUCUUCCCCACCUCCCAUCUCUCAGUUCUUUGACACAAAGAUCACUUUAGCUGGAAGAUGUAAUAGUCAUAUUUCUGGAAUUUUUGCCAGUGUACUUUGUAUUUUUUGGAAAAGAUCAUUUGACUUUUUUUUUUUUUUUCCAGUGUGUUAUAUUGUUAUUUUUAUCUACAUGCAGUGGUCUACAAAGUACUGGCUGCUGAACUAGCCCUUCACUGUUCAUAUGCAGAAACACUUUGGUCAGAGGUGCCUCUGUAUGUUCAUCCUGUGUAUUGAAUGCAAAAUGAGGAUCAAUACUACAGACCGUUAAUGAUUGUCUAUUUGUUUUUAACUGAUCAUGCUUUCUUCGUUUGACAGUAUUCUGUAGUACUUCCAGGUAGUAUCUUGAGAUGUGUAAGAAAAAAAAAAAGGUGUCUCAGACGGGGGAUGUGGGUGUUUGCCGCUCCAAGCUGCUCCACCUGCCCGCAGGCUGUCCCCCCUUGCCCUUUGCCUAGCUGCUAUGCUAUGACCUCCUCUCCUCCUCCACCACAAGAAGACCCAGUAGCCCUCCCCUGACCAAGCACCUACAGGCCCUCAUAUCUGUUUCUAUGCAAAAAGACGAGAGGCUGGGGCCCUUUACAGCACGCCAAAGCUGUCUUGGGAAUGAGCACUCCUCCCAGAGCUUGGCAUAUCCUAACAAUUGUCCCCCACGCGCUCCUGUCAGCACUUCAAACUGGCCGCAGUUUCUGUAAAGUCAGGCUCAGCCACCAGAACACUGUCAUGUAUCUAAAAGUUAGAACACUUUAUCAAAAGGUCGGCCUUUCUCUCUGAGCUGAAGACGCUUCUGUCCAGCUUGAUCUCAGGGUAGGGGAGUUGAUGAUACAAAGUAUGAGAUGCAGCUCUCCGUAUCUGUCCUUUCUACUGUGAGAGCAAAGUCUAAAACUUCGAAGGCCAUCUGCACGCAGCAGGACGUACAGACCUCAUGCCUCGAAACUGAAUCCUUAUUGUUGGGGGGAAGAGGCUCGCAUUGAAUCCUCUUCCCAAAAAGAUGGCCUCUUGUUAUUGUUUGGGGAGACAUUAUUGCAUGUAAAAAGAUGCCAAUGUAUUGUGCCAAUAUAAAUUUGCUGUGUCAUACUGUAUAUUUAUAGAGAGCACUUCUGUUCCCUGUUUGGAGGAGCUUUGAUGACCUUUGCAGAGGGUGUAGGGGGGGACAGGAGGGAUCAAACAAAAGGGCGGCAGCAUCACACCCUGAAGCGACUGAGAUUUUUUUUUAUGCUUUUGUGGGGAAUGCCCCAAGCUAAGGAGAAAAUCUUUACUCAGUUGGGGGUUCCGGUUUGCUACAGUGCACAGUUGAUGAUGGGUAAUCCCGGGUACAUAUUUUUUUAAAACCAAAAAUGAAAUUGCAUUUUAACGUCAUUUUUAUGAAGUUUGACAUAAAAAUCUUAAAAAUGCUAAAAAAUCUAAAUGGAAAAAAAAAGAUCUAUAAUAUGUUAAAAGCUCUGCACUUCUAGCUGAAACGUCUCUGGUCAUCAGCCUCUGCUACCAACAUCUAAAGGAGCAGAGCGGUGGCUGGGGUGCCUUUUUUUUGUGGAUGCUGUAUUUAUCUCGUUUUACGUUUGUGCCCUGCUCAAAGCAGGCCCACUGAACUGUACAUUUCCACAGACCCAGGUGGCUUGGGCCCACUGUAUCAGCCUCACUCUCUGAUUCUGCAUCAGCAGGAGCAGAGAGGCACAUUUCAAGAGGUACAAAGUCUUAAAAAUGAAACAAAAAAACAAAAAAAAAAAGCUUAAAAAAUAUAUAUUAAAAAAAAAAUAAGAAAACGGGAAAAGGCUACCUUUCAGGACUUUCAGUCCUGCAGCACACAAGCAAAAAUCACUAUUGCCUGUUUCUGUAACUGCCUUGAUCCAAGCUCAGACAGACCCAAUAGCCGAGGACCUCCCAGCAUCCUGUACUAACUGGAGAACCCUGACAGUGAAGGGGGUUUCCCAUGCUGCACCAGCAUCGAGAGGCUCUCCUCUCUACAGCUCUGUUCUAGAUAGCAGUAUAUGUAUACACUACAUAUAAAUAUAUAUAUCUAUAUAUAUAUGUACUGUGAGUACGGUGUGUGGUAUCACCUCUUCAGACUUCUUGGAUCGUAACCUCUGAAACUUUCAUUUUAGUUUGAAAGGUCUUGGUUUAACACAGCUGAAAAUGAGCAAUAUGUAUUUUCCCCGCAAAUAAGUGAGACAAAGGAAAGAAUUUGGGUCGGGUAUAAACUGAUACUUGACUGAUCGAAAGCAAAGUCUUUCUUGUACGGAGUCAGAUAUGCACGUUCUGGUUUUGAUGACAUAUUACAGUACUAUGAAGUGUUUGUACUGUAUAUGUGUGUUAUUUGUUUGUUAAUUAGGCUGCCUAAAAGCCCAACCUGAAUCACCUGGUUUAAUGCAUAUUUUACCCAGUUGAUUAAAAAAAAAAAAAAGAAAUCACAAACAUAUCAAAACAAAACAAAACAUUGAACAGAAAUACUUGAAUCAUUGAACGCCAAUAACAUAAUGUGAAGUCAGUAAUUAUUAUUUUUUUGUUCUUUCCAUCUGACAGGUACACUUAGGGGCUUUUAGAGAACACCAGAUGUGUAUUGCAUUAAGUUACAAAUACAAAAUCUUUGAAAAAAACAAAGUCAUCUUAGAUGUGUGCUUGAAAGUCAGAUGUUUGUAUGAAUGUGUGCUCAAGAAACUGUGUACAGGGCACGUGGCCUGCUGUUAUGUUCCACUCAGUACGUUAUAUUUUGUGUCUGUUUAUAUCUUCUUUUUUUCGUUGUUGUUAUUGUUGAUGAUCUGUCAAAAACUAUUCUGAUAGACGUUGUUAUCUUCUAACGUUGCACUGAGUGUCUUCUACCCCUCACUCAGCUAAUCGUAGUUAAACGAGUCUAAGUACGGAGGGGCGAUGGUGACAAUUCAUGUGUACAUGUUUACUCAAGGACUUUGUUUUUCCAUUCUGUAAAAAGUUUAUCUACCUUAUAGUGGCUUUUAUUGUGGAAUAAUCCAAUACAAGGAUUAUCUUGAGUAUUGCACCAUUUUGUUCCAAUUAUAUAAAAAAGGAAAUAGGAAAAAAAAAUUAAAAAAGAAAAAUGUGCAAAAAAAAAAUGAUAAAAGGAAAAAAAAAGAGUAACAAAAAACAAAAAAAAAACAAAGAACUGUGGCCAUAGAUAGCUGUAGAAGGACUAGUAAUCCCGAUUUUAACUUCAUGGAGAGACGGAAAGGGAUAAAGUGUGGGAGGUGAGUUUGUUAUAAGACUCAUUUCAGAGGUGCCUAUCUUUUCUUUUUUUAUUUUGCAAAAGCCACCUGUCGUUUACAAAGCAUUUCAUUUAUCGGAGUUCAAGGAAACAGGAAUGUUUUUUGGUUUCGUUUUUUGUUUUUAAGGACAAAUUUCAUCUUCCAUCAAAUAUGGACAUGAAAAUCUUGCAAAAUGAAGAUUUAUGCUACUUUCAGAACUCUGGGAUUGAUCAGUGUUGUCAUAUUUCAAUUUUUAAUUUCUCUUUUAGUAUCGAUGGACUAUCUCUGUAUGUGUUACAUGGUGAUUUUAUGUUUUCUGUAAUACUGCAACGCAGUUUACUCACUAUCUUGCACACUCAUUUAAAAAAAAAAAAAAGAUGUGGAUUUUGUCUCAGGAAGGCCAGGGUUCCAGAUACCAACUCCAUCAUUUCUAGGUUUGAUGUUCGUGUGAAAAUAAGCAACUGAGAACUAUUAAACUCCAAGAAAGCACUGAAGUUUAUGAGUUUAACAGAAUAUAGAGAGUACCAUUGUUUCUUUAAAACAACAAAAAAUGUUCGUAGCAAGUCACAUAUUUACCAAAUAAGACUAAGAAUCAACUUUGAGAAAAGUGGAGCGCUUUACAUGUGAAAUUUGAAGUAGAAAUUGCUUUACAUUUAAACGCGAUCAGUGGUUUGAUUGUCAUUAUGACAGUGACAGGAAAAUGCAUUUGUAUGUUUUGACUUUGAGUUUCCAUCCUGUAGUUCAGGAGCACGUGCAAGACACUCUUUGUUUGUUUGUUUUAAAAUCAUCUCUCCUGCCUGUUAACAUGUCAGUUCCUGUGACAGGUAUUCAAUAGCUGAGAGAUUUCUUAACAUGUAACAGAUGGUUUUCAGAGGCAUGUUGAAGAGGAGGAAUAAAGCUGGUUUUUAAUGGAUCAUGAUCUAUGCACAAGUGGGAGGGAGGAGUCCAAACCCUGCUGCUGUACUGCGGCGUUUGUCGACUCAGACUCUGGGGUUCAGGGUUUGAUGGAGGGUUUUCAUUUUUUUGUGUGUGUUUUUUGCUGAAAUUUCUUCCACUCCCAUCCCACCCAUUGUCAUCUAAUGUUUUAGCAAAAUUUUACAUUGCGUCGUCAUGCUGUGUAAUCCUUAACCAAUGAGCGCUUAUCCUUCUGCUAAAGCACUGUGGGUUGUACUGAGGAAAAAACAAAAAGAAGCCCGUUACUUUUAAGGCUGUCUGUUUUUUUUAAGGGGAGGACGGCGGGUGGGUUGUGGGAGUGGGGGUACUUUGCCUUUGCCUUUCUCUUUACUUUGAAGAAAAAAAAAAGUGAAAUUGUCUGUAACUGAAAUACAAAGUUGUGGCUUUUAAUGUUGUUCUUUUUUUUCUCCUCAUAGAAUGUGAUUGUUAAAGACAUGCACCGAAGAAAAAAAAAAUGUUUCCAUGGAACUUCUUUCGGACUAUAUUAAUAAACUGCAAAUUUUCUUGUCUGUUAUUUUGUAUCUUGUCCUGUUUUUUUUUUUUUUUUUUUUUUUUUUUUUUUUCUUUGUUUGAUUGUAUGUUUUUUUUAAUAGUAGAAGGGAAAAAAAGCUUUUUGGGGGGCAACUAAAAUCAAACUUUUAAAGCUGUUUUUAGCAUAUUUUACUUGUGAUUCCAUACGUGCAGAUUUUAAGGUCUGGUGAACAUUUUUAUAAUGCUCCAAAGUAACAGCCAAGAGCUAUGUUGAAGGUACAAUGUGUAAAAUCUCAGCACCUUUCGAUUGCAGCCAACUGAAUUCUGGUUUCUUACCCCUUCCAAUUUAAUUGCAUAAUCCUAGUUACAGUGGCUGCUGUAGGGAAAAACACACUGUGGUAGUUUUGGUAGUUUAUCUGUUGUAAAUGCAGGCUGUUAGUCGGCUGUUUACCUCAGCUGGCAAUGCCAGGUGAAAUGCGUGAAAACUAAUACAAGUCGCAGAAGCUCACUUCUGCUUUUGAUGGUAUCCUGAACGUUUGUUAGUAAGCGCU
This is a long non-coding RNA of Astatotilapia calliptera (eastern happy), 5864 nucleotides long. Lineage: Eukaryota; Metazoa; Chordata; Actinopteri; Cichliformes; Cichlidae. The record is from Ensembl.